UGAUGGAUAGCUCAGUCAGUAGAGCAUGAGCCUCUUGAUCUCAGGGUCGUGGGUUCAAGCCCCAUGCUUGGCAA
Molecule: transfer RNA, 74 nt
Filed under: Podarcis lilfordi (Lilford's wall lizard)
Lineage: Eukaryota; Metazoa; Chordata; Lepidosauria; Squamata; Lacertidae
Description: tRNA.Lys
Rfam family: tRNA (bases 8-65)
About the family: Transfer RNA (tRNA) molecules are approximately 80 nucleotides in length. Their secondary structure includes four short double-helical elements and three loops (D, anti-codon, and T loops). Further hydrogen bonds mediate the characteristic L-shaped molecular structure. tRNAs have two regions of fundamental functional importance: the anti-codon, which is responsible for specific mRNA codon recognition, and the 3' end, to which the tRNAs corresponding amino acid is attached (by aminoacyl-tRNA synthetases). tRNAs cope with the degeneracy of the genetic code in two manners: having more than one tRNA (with a specific anti-codon) for a particular amino acid; and 'wobble' base-pairing, i.e. permitting non-standard base-pairing at the 3rd anti-codon position.
Source: RNAcentral